CCUACGGGAGGCAGCAGUGAGGAAUAUUGGUCAAUGGCCGGAAGGCUGAACCAGCCAAGUCGCGUGAGGGAAUAAGGCCCUAUGGGUCGUAAACCUCUUUUGUCAGGGAGCAAAGGCGUCCACGAGUGGACGAAAGGAGAGUACCUGAAGAAAAAGCAUCGGCUAACUCCGUGCCAGCAGCCGCGGUAAUACGGAGGAUGCGAGCGUUAUCCGGAUUUAUUGGGUUUAAAGGGUGCGCAGGCGGCCUGUUAAGUCAGCGGUAAAAGCCCGGGGCUCAACCCCGGCGAGCCGUUGAAACUGGCGGG
This 305-nucleotide ribosomal RNA is filed under the name uncultured bacterium. RNAcentral describes it as "bacterial SSU rRNA". It matches the Rfam family "Bacterial small subunit ribosomal RNA", at positions 338 to 640 of the family's 1533-position model. The record is from RNAcentral.